RNAcentral lists this ribosomal RNA (482 nucleotides) under uncultured bacterium. RNAcentral describes it as "partial 16S ribosomal RNA". It matches the Rfam family "Bacterial small subunit ribosomal RNA", at positions 30 to 507 of the family's 1533-position model. The record is from RNAcentral.
AUUGAACGCUGGCGGCAUGCCUUACACAUGCAAGUCGAACGGUAACAGGUCUUCGGAUGCUGACGAGUGGCGAACGGGUGAGUAAUACAUCGGAACGUGCCCGAUCGUGGGGGAUAACGAGGCGAAAGCUUUGCUAAUACCGCAUACGAUCUACGGAUGAAAGCGGGGGAUCUUCGGACCUCGCGCGGACGGAGCGGCCGAUGGCAGAUUAGGUAGUUGGUGGGAUAAAAGCUUACCAAGCCGACGAUCUGUAGCUGGUCUGAGAGGAUGAUCAGCCACACUGGGACUGAGACACGGCCCAGACUCCUACGGGAGGCAGCAGUGGGAAAUUUUGGACAAUGGGCGAAAGCCUGAUCCAGCCAUGCCGCGUGCAGGAUGAAGGCCUUCGGGUUGUAAACUGCUUUUGUACGGAACGAAAAGCCUCUUUCUAAUAAAGAGAGGUCAUGACGGUACCGUAAGAAUAAGCACCGGCUAACUACGUG